Molecule: ribosomal RNA, 494 nt
Filed under: uncultured bacterium
Lineage: Bacteria
Description: partial 16S ribosomal RNA
Rfam family: Bacterial small subunit ribosomal RNA
Source: RNAcentral
GAUGAACGCUGGCGGCGUGCUUAACACAUGCAAGUCGAACGGGAAACAUUUCAUUGAGGCUUCGGCGGAUUUGGUCUGUUUCUAGUGGCGGACGGGUGAGUAACGCGUGGGUAACCUGCCUUGUACUGGGGGAUAACAGCCAGAAAUGGCUGCUAAUACCGCAUAAGCGCACGGGACCGCAUGGUCCUGUGUGAAAAACUCCGGUGGUAUAAGAUGGACCCGCGUUGGAUUAGCUAGUUGGCAGGGCAGCGGCCUACCAAGGCGACGAUCCAUAGCCGGCCUGAGAGGGUGAACGGCCACAUUGGGACUGAGACACGGCCCAGACUCCUACGGGAGGCAGCAGUGGGGAAUAUUGCACAAUGGGGGAAACCUUGAUGCAGCGACGCCGCGUGAAGGAAGAAGUAUCUCGGUAUGUAAACUUCUAUCAGCAGGGAAGAUAAUGACGGUACCUGACUAAGAAGCCCCGGCUAACUACGUGCCAGCAGCCGCAGUAA